This 253-nucleotide unclassified non-coding RNA is filed under the name uncultured Acidobacteriota bacterium. RNAcentral describes it as "uncultured Acidobacteria bacterium contains 16S-23S intergenic spacer region". It matches the Rfam family "Bacterial small subunit ribosomal RNA", at positions 524 to 776 of the family's 1533-position model. The record is from RNAcentral. Lineage: Bacteria; Pseudomonadati; Acidobacteriota.
UACGUAGGUGGCAAGCGUUGUCCGGAAUUAUUGGGCGUAAAGGGCGCGUAGGCGGCCUGCUAAGUCGGACGUGAAAUCCCUCGGCUCAACCGGGGAACUGCGUCCGAUACUGACAGGCUCGAAUCCGGGAGAGGGAUGUGGAAUUCCAGGUGUAGCGGUGAGAUGCGUAGAUAUCUGGAGGAACACCAGUGGCGAAGGCGGCAUCCUGGACCGGCAUUGACGCUGAGGCGCGAAAGCCAGGGGAGCAAACGGG